AUUGAACGCUGGCGGCAUGCUUUACACAUGCAAGUCGAACGGUAACAGGUUAAGCUGACGAGUGGCGAACGGGUGAGUAAUGCAUCGGAACGUGCCCAAUCGGGGGGGAUAACGCAGCGAAAGCUGCGCUAGUACCGCAUACGAUCUGAGGAUGAAAGCGGGGGACCGUAAGGCCUCGCGCGAUCGGAGCGGCCGAUGUCAGAUUAGGUAGUUGGUGGGGUAAAGGCUCACCAAGCCAACGAUCUGUAGCUGGUCUGAGAGGACGACCAGCCACACUGGGACUGAGACACGGCCCAGACUCCUACGGGAGGCAGCAGUGGGGAAUUUUGGACAAUGGGCGAAAGCCUGAUCCAGCAAUGCCGCGUGCAGGAAGAAGGCCUUCGGGUUGUAAACUGCUUUUGUACGGAGCGAAAAGGCCCUCUCUAAUACAGUGGGCUCAUGACGGUACCGUAAGAAUAAGCACCGGCUAACUACGUGCCAGCAGCCGCCGUAA
Molecule: ribosomal RNA, 493 nt
Filed under: uncultured bacterium
Lineage: Bacteria
Description: partial 16S ribosomal RNA
Rfam family: Bacterial small subunit ribosomal RNA
Source: RNAcentral